Molecule: non-coding RNA, 580 nt
Organism: Notechis scutatus (mainland tiger snake)
Lineage: Eukaryota; Metazoa; Chordata; Lepidosauria; Squamata; Elapidae
Source: RefSeq, a predicted model, not a curated record
GGACUAUAUGAUCUAUAAGGUCCCUUCCAACUCUGAGUAUCUGUUAACUGUUUGAAAUGUACAUUGUGUUCUAACCUUUGAAGGUGCUUUGAAUCUUUGUUGAAAAUGUGAACAACAUGAAGGGAAAUUUUAUUAUGUUUGAUGGAUAUGUAAAAAAGCCAAACUUUUUUGAUACAAAUAUUUCCAAAAAUUCAGAAGGUUUAAAAAUUAAAGUUCCACUGAAAACAGAGACUUUGCUUUUGAGACUAAUGGACAGGCAACUACAAAAAGUCAUGAAACUUUGUUUCUAUAUAUGUCAGCUACAAGAUGAUUAUAUGUUCAAAAGUGGAAAGGUCUAUCUGCAAUGGAGGAACGGUUGGUUAAGUUGAUGGAAAGAUGGUUAAAUUAACUUCUUUUGAUAGAAAAACAGCAUUCUCUACAUCUAGGAUUGAAUUAAAAUCCCUUAUAGACUAUUUGCAGAAAAGAUGCACUUAUGACUUGUGGGUUUAAUGACUGGAAAAAAGUGAAAAAGAAAAAAGAAAAAAAGAGGGUUUUUUUUGGUAAUCAUAGACUAAGAUAUAAUUUUGUAAUCAAACAUAUA